GACCGCGUGGCUCAGUUGGAAGAGCAUUGGGCUAGUAUUCCAAAGGUCGUAGGUUCGAAUCCCACCGUGGCCG
Molecule: non-coding RNA, 73 nt
Organism: Paramuricea clavata
Lineage: Eukaryota; Metazoa; Cnidaria; Anthozoa; Malacalcyonacea; Plexauridae
Source: the annotation of a GenBank genome assembly